This is a long non-coding RNA of Chiroxiphia lanceolata (lance-tailed manakin), 7849 nucleotides long. RefSeq lists it as uncharacterized. The transcript is spliced from 2 exons. The record is from RefSeq and is a predicted model, not a curated record. NCBI's taxonomy places the organism in Eukaryota, Metazoa, Chordata, Aves, Passeriformes, Pipridae.
UGCCACCUGAGGUUUCAUAUAACUGCACAGGGCGCUGGACAGGGAAACCCAGCCAGGAGAGAGCUGGGUCAGGAAAAGAGGCUUGACUAGCUCAGGCGUGGGUCUGGUCCUCACUCGGUCUGCUGCAUUGACACACACCUUCUGAAUACCAGAACAAGGGAAAGGGCAAUGUUGAGUCAGAAAAAAUGAGAAUGGGAUUGCUUCUUUUGGCCUCAGUGCCAUACCAAAGCGUUUGUGGAAACAAAGCCUCUCAGUGCCAAGUCUGGAAUUCUUGAAUUAAUGUGGUUAAACCAUUAAUAAAAUCUUAUUCUGGCCUAGAAUUUUCUCUGGCCUACGGUAAGCAGCAUCCAUUUCUUAUUCCGUCAGGUUCCUGAAUACAGGCAAUAAAUCUAUUCCUUUUUUAUUGUUUUUGUGGAAGUUUGUGUAAUAAUGCUUGACUGCAGUGAGUAUUUUCCAGUCUUAGUUUGACUGCACUCCCUUUGCUUGCACUCCAAACUGAGAUAUUAAGGACUCAUUUUUGCACAUUUCUGGGGACCUUCAUUGUCCCCAUGAUUCAACAGUGCCCUGCACCAGUCACUGAUGGAGUCUUGGGUAUGUCCUGGUAUGAAACCUAGAGCGUGGUGUACUCGCAUGUGUGUAGUAAGCAGGAGAUAACCAGAGAGCAGCACAAGUGACUGCUCUUCGGAAAUGUGCUCUGGCUACUGCCCUUCUCUGCAUGGUUCUUCCCAGAGUCUUCCAAUCCAAAAGCAAAAUGAGGUUAAUGUAAAUGUCUUCAGUAAAAGAUACUUUUUCGGGUGCUUGUAUGCUGACGAUUCAGGCGUUUGCUGGCUUUGCCAGUGACAUUUAUCCAUCUGUAAGCACAGCUUUUGCCCCACACUGUUAGACUGCAGCUGUUUGCACAAUGCAGUGAGGUAACCUCGUAUGAGGCAAGGUCCAGCAUGACCAGUCCUCAGUAAAGAUAUGUGCAAUUUGGCACAAAAAUGGAAGCCUUCCAAGCAUUGCACAAUCUCUCAUUCAGAAAUCCCAAAUAAAAAACUCAAUCCCGAUGCCCUGCAUGUAGGGAUGGACUAUGGGUUUCAUGGUCUGUAUAAGGACUUAAUAAAGUAGCAAAGGGGGUUCCCGUUCACAAGAGUGCCUAGAGUGGGUGAUAGGUGAGAGGGUAGCCUGGGUCGCUCAGCUGAAGCACAGGUAUCUCAGGUGUGUGGAGAAGAUAUGCCUUCAAAGAAGGCAUUGCAAAUGGUCUUGGGAUUCUAUAGACAGCUCUAGGUGGACUGUACAACAAUGGGAGACUGGUUUGUCCUCUGUCCUGUUUAAUUAGACCAGUGUAUGGAUAUCUGAGAUUGGAGGAAAACACUUCUAUUGAUGUGCAAAAAUAGUGGCAGUAGGAUAAAAAUGCAAAUUCUCUUACAAAACACAUCAGUCAGUGUUAGGGUUGUGAAACACUGAGAAUAUAGAUGUACCACUGAAACAUCAGAAAAUAAAAGUGUUUUCCCAUCUUUCCAGCCGUUUCCACCCCUUUAAAAACCUCUUUCAAUUUGUUUUCUUUUAUAGAGUCAUGCAUUUCUCCCUCUUCCAACCUUUGUUUUAUUUGAGUUGGGAAACAUCUCCUUUUGUUGUCAGUGUUGCUUUCAUUUGUAGUUCUACUUUGUUUUGCAAAAUAAUUCAGGAAUUCUUCAUCCAAAGGCAAUUGUUUGAAAGCAUUUCAAUAAAGUCUGUAAGGAGAAAGACAUCUAUUCUUCCGCUGUUCACUUUCUCUAUAAUUUUUCUGCUCUCCUUGCCUUUACCGAUGACCAUGAAUUUGUCCAUUUAGAAUCCAAGGAAAAACCUGUUUUUAUAUUUUCUGAAAAAAACAGAGAUAUUUUCUGUCCUUCACAAAAUGCCACAUGUGCAAUUUCCUUCCUGCCUGGAGGUCUGAAAUCACCACAACAAUGCCUUCUGCAUCAAGGGCUCAGGGACUCCUCUGCAGCGAAACACUUGAACAAACACUUAAAGUUAAGCCUCUGCAUAGCCUCAUUGGAGAAGGUGAAGGAAUAUGAAUGUACCUUGAAAUGCACCGGGUUUUUGUAUAAACAUUAUGAAGAUUUGCAUUCAAAAGGUAACUGAUGAAAUUUUUACCCUAAAAGUUGCUUUUCACUUGAAAUGUCUUUUCAGUUGAUAACAAAAUCAUUUGACAUUCCGCAGGAAGAAAACUGAUAAACUCCGAAAAGCUAAGCUUCCAAUGGGAAAUUUUUUUUUUUAAUUCUCACAAAACAUGAAAAAAUAAGCAAACUGUAGUUGAAUCCUUUCUUUUACACAGGAACAAAAAAAAAUAUAUAAGACCAUCAGCCCUAGGUCUGAACUAAAAAAUGACAUGAAAAUGAAGAGAGAAAAAUACGUUGAGUUUUGUUUGUUUUCCUGCAUGUGAUAUAUAAACCAACCUGAAAGUUUUGAAGAUUAGAUAUGAUGACUCCUGAGUCAGAGUCCAAUUCUGCAUGUUCAGCAUGGUUGAAUUUGACAUUCAGGUUUGUUCAGACUUUGCUUUUCCUUGGGAAGGAGAGUUUGCAGUUCCUGCUUUCUGGGGCUGUAAGCUGUGUAAGCUUUAAAGUACUGGAAAGCCCACCUGAAAAAUCUAUUCCUUUUAACUUAGAAUAGUCAUAUUGUCUCAGGGAUUGCUGUACAUCCCUAGAGGUGUCUCCAAGAUAACCAUGCAGACUAGGGUAUCUUGAAGUCAGUUAAGGUGUCCAAGGAAUGCAGCUGCCUAAUGAAGAACUGUAAAUAUUUGCAUCAGACAAAUGCACUUAGAAAUAGAUGAGUAACCUGUUUCUGAUGCAGGGAAUUAAUCAUGCAGUCUUCACACAAAGAAUCUGAAAGAUGAGGCCCCAUGUCGUUUGGAUUAAGAUGUCACUAUGUUGUUAUCUGGGAUGAAGUGUAGGAUUUAUAUAACAUCGUCUUUCUCUUGCUGAAGAUCAGCCGAUUCAAACAACUUGAAUAAGUGGUUUCCAUCCUAAGAGGGCUAUGUUUACAUCUUGAGCGGCUGUUGCUGUGGUUUGGUCCUGUGCAAAACCAAACCAAACCAAAACCCUAUUUAAUUUCACAUUCCUUACGGUUUCCGAUCUUCUUGGACAUAUUGACUGUUUUGUUCGUCUGGCAGUAAAAAGCCCAGACACCUUGGCCAGGGAAGGAAUAUUCCUACCUAGUGGGACCACCAGGUUUUGGGAAGUACCGUUGUGUUUCCUCUGCCACCUCCUCCAGAACUGAGAAAGGAGGGAAGAGAGAAGGGGAAGUGACAUUUUUUUCCUUGUAAGUGGUUUCAUGGGAGCUGUAUAGAUACGUCUUCUAUUGACAUCUAUCUUAGUCAUUGAGCUCAUUUUCUGCCUCUCUCAUUGACUGGGGAAGGAUCUGGCAGCCUCAGAUAGCAGGGCUCUGCAUUGAUAAUCACUCUUUUGAUAUUAUAUGGUGGAGUGGCUAUCACAGCUUCAUUAGCUACCUCCAGUACGAUGACUUGGAGAGUGCCUUCGAGAUCAGGGAGCUGGGACUGGCACUUCGUAAUCAGUAAUUUCAAACGAAUUUCUGGCCACCCUAAUCAACUACACAGAGUUCCCUGAGGGAAGAUCAGGGUCCUUAUUUCUCCCUUAAGAAUGAAACAUUAAAUUUCAUUCUUCAGUGUUUUUUCCUUCUUUAUAGAAAUCCCUACUUGUAUAACUCUGGUAGCUUUAAUACUUUAAACAAACACAAACAUAAGGAAGAACACAAUUCCUUAUUGCUUACUUGUUUUGCAAUUCAUAUGGCCCUGACAAGAAUUUUUUUGCUUUGAAAUUUGGAACCUGCAUAUUAACACACUUUAUCUUGCCAAGCUAGUUCAAGCAAGGUCUGAUGAAACACCUUUUAUUUGAUCUUUUGUUUGCAUUAAAUGCCUUUUUGAACUUUGGUGAGAGUGGCUGACCUUUAGAAAAAAAGGUAUACUGGUGCAAUGCAGCUAGAAGCAUUAAACAAGUGUACUGACAGUUAAAUGAAAAGUGACUGGCUGGGCUAGGUACACCUGUCAUGUUAAUGCUGCCAGGGGAACUUGGUGCUCACAUGAUUACUUUUGUUGUGUGGGGUUUUUUUUCCCUCCUAUAAAUCUCAGUUAUAUAAAUUUGCUGGGGGGAUUUACAUCUACAACUCUGGCUUCAGAGGUGCCUAGCAUGAUAUUUAAAGGAACUCUAGUUCCUUCUCUCUGGAAUGCAGGAUCAAGAGAGGGCUUACACAUUAAAAUGAAAAGCUAAAUCAAACAGCCGUAGCUUAUUCUUUAAAGUAAACAGAGCAAAGGCUAUUGGUGUCAGCCAUAGCAGCAGUCAGGUAUGUACUGACAAAAGAGAUUGAAGAAAUUUUUUCUAACAGAGGAAAUUAUUGUGGUUUGUUUACUUUUUCCAAGGAGAAAAUGAUCUUUUCAAAGGAUGUAGGAUGAUAAUCAUCAUUAACCAGAAGGCAGAUUUUCAGCAAAAAUAUUGAAAUUAUCCAGCUUAUGGUCCUUUUGGAAAACUGCUGAUCACCCCAAGUUCAAAGAGGUCAGUUGAAAAUUAGGUAAUGCUCUCAAAAUCCCCAUGGCAGGAUGAGACAGUGCUUUCAGGUAUGACAUCCUGAUUAUCAUUAAUUAGAUGUAGGUGAGGAACUCCAGACUCAUGAACAAUUUUGCCAAUAGGUAAAGCUUUUUUUGCACGGUCAUGUUGAAGGACACAGUGAUUUGCUGGCACUGUUGCUGUUUACCUUGCUUCUUUGUGAAAACAAAUUUCUGUUUCAUUUCUUAGGCUACCAGGAUUCUGUCAUCUAUUUUGGGUUUCUUAAUUCCAUGCUAAAUUACUGUGUGCUUGGUUACAGUUUGCUCCAUCAAGGGUUAACUCCAGUGUAGUGAAGUACAAAAAUGGAACAUGCCAAUGAAAACUGAAGUCUCAGCUGUGAAAAUGGAAAAAAUCAGAAAGAACCGUAGUUUCAUACAAUGGCAAGUAUCAGACAGGGAUUUUAGUAACUUAUCAAUGCUAACAUCAUCUUAUCACUGAGAAGUUGUUGAUUUCAGGGUUCUUACUCCUUUUUCCUUUGCAAGUCUGUUACUAUUGAAAAGAGACUGGUCUAUCCUGAUUUUGAAUCCUGUAGGCAACGCAAAGAAGACAAAACCCAAAACCUGUUUCAACAGCAUCACUGCAGUGAUUUCUGGCAAUGGCAUCCUGCUAUUUGUUCUUGCUUUGGGGUCAUGUGCAACAAAUACUGUUGGCUUAAAUGUUAAGAGGAGUUGACGAAAAUGCAGGUUAUAUGCUGGUAAAUUCUGGAAGGAAGAUGAGUCCUUGAAAGGUGGCUCAGUGUUGUAAAGUUGCCUCAGAGAGUUUUAAAAAUUAUGUCAGGCAAUGGAUGCAUAUACAGUUUUGUUGCAUCCCCUGCUCCAAAGUCCAGCCUGGUAAGGUUGGGGUGCAGCCAUUUGUUUCCACCUGCUGAAGUGCCAACAGACACACACAUCUGUGAAAAUAGCAUCACACAGAGGAGUUUUGCUUAGUAAUGAUGAUCCAAUUCUCUCUUAUAUACAAAAAGCCUGACUGCAAGGGAAUAAUUAUUAUUGGUUGCAAUGGUUAUCUUUUUAUUAAUGCUGCUAUUUUUUCAAAGAGUAAUGACAAGUUUUCCUGACAUGACUGAGCCAAAUGAAUAACUGUUCCAUAACAGACCACAUUCCAUCCUUUUUCUCCUUCACUUUUCUUUUCUUGCCCUGAUUCUUCCACAUAUCUCAUUUAUUUUCACACUCUUUAAGCUAAUUCCCUCAUUUGGAAAAAAACAAACAAACCAACCAAACAACAACCCUAUGUUUUUUGUUCCACCUAAUGUUAGUAUAAUUUUAAUGAACUGAAUUCGCUAAACUUCUUGGUUGUCCCUCUGUGCUGCCAGACAACCAGCACAGCUGGCACAAGGUAAGCAAGAGUCCAGACAUGGCAAAGGCAAGCAGGCUUUCUCUUUUCCUGCAGCAAAACAGUUAUUUGGGUAAUGCUGCUGAACAAAACCACACUCCAAAAACUUCAUCCCAGUGACAUUUUUCCAGUAAUAUUUUUCCUAUCAGCAAAACCAGUGUAAGAGGUUCUGAUUUUCCUAUUCCUCUCUCUGUUCCCACUGUCCACGAUGUUUCUCUUACUAGUUUGUUAGUUGUGCUUAUACAACUGUUUGUAGAGAUGUCUUGCAAACUGGGAUCACUGAAAUUAUCGAAUUCCCUUUUCAAAAGUAGUUUUAAAGAAAACCCCUCCACCUCUGAUCCUUGUGGUGAUUGCCAUCAGAGCACAGCCCAAAGAAGCCAAAGUCAGCCCUGCAGCCCCUUCAGCUGGCAAAGCUAGGAGGGCACUGAGCUGCAGUUGUGAGCCAAGUGGGUUUGCAAAGAAGGGAACCAAGUGGGCAGGAACAGGGGAGCGAGAAACUGUUUUACACUGCUUUGCCAUUGGAGAAAACAAGUGUCUAGAUUUAAGGUGGUUUUUUUUGCAGAUUUGGGUUUUGUUUUCAGUAAAGGCUGCAGGAAACACAACCAGGUAAUGUUCAGCAACAGAUGAAGCAGAACCUCUAACCACUGAUGUAAGUAUAAACUCUAGCCACCAUUUUUCUAACCACUGAUGUAAGUAUAAAUUUUUACAGUGACAACAAAAGGCUAAGGACAUCAAGGUGACAGCUGUGUUUUUCAGCUUUGAUCAUAUAAAUUGAGAACUGUUGCCAGCUGAGAACAGUUCAGCCUUUCCUGUGAUCCAGCUUUAACAAAGAAAUAAUUUUACUGUGGGAGCUUGUGGGCCUUAUUUGUUACACCUGACUGACCCAUACUUAGAAAAUGUGUAUAAAGAACAUUUUCUAGGUUUGGAAUGAAAGAAAUGCUCAUCAUCAUAGCUGUGGUUGCUUGACAUAGGAGAAUGUGAAGUAGACCAUGAUAUUCUGCUAAAUCCAGAUUAAGGAAACCUUCAACUUCCUAUUUCCUAAUAGAUCUUUGUCUAGUGUUACAUCCAACCUCAAUCAAAAUACAUAAUGACCAUCUCAUAAGUACUCAUGAGCUGUAAUUUAUAUGCUUGUAUAAAAUACAACUGUCAGCUUAGAUGUUUACAUGAGAUACAGAUUUUUGUUGGUAAAGAAUAUAUACAUUGAGAGCUGAAAUUUGAAUACCAGGCAUGAGGGAAUGUUGUCUCCCCAGGGUCUUAAUGAUUUGUUUAUAUUGAAAACAAAAAUAUUCCCUAGCAAGCUUCUGUUUAUGGGGAGAUGACUUCACCUGAAAGGGAUCUUAAUAAGUCGCAAAGUUAGAUGGGGAGGGCAAACAACCCCUCAGGAGAAGUGUCAAAAUUAUCACUUUGAUUAAAUUGCAGAUCACAGGUGUCUGUGGUGGAGUAAAGGUUUGAGCUUGAAUAUGAGCUCAACAGGAAUCUACCUUCAACAAGAGAGCAAAAGACAAUAGUUUCAUCCUAAGAAUAGUGUGCAUGGGAGCAUUUUAGGAGUAUUUGAAAUGAAGAAAAAUGUCUUUGAGUGGAUCUCAAGUAUGAACACAUGUAUCAUUAUUCCCUAUUUUAUUUGUUUAAAUAUGAAUUUAAACCAAGUAAUAAGUCUGUAACUAUAUGAAUCACAGUAAAUGGUUGUUUUCCAUAACUGUUUCUGCAUCUACUUCUGUAUCUAUUUCUUAAUGUCUUGGGAAAGUUGAUUUGAGGGUAAUGCAAACACCAACAUGGUUUUCCUCUGGAUGUGAUGACCCUUAAAUCCUGGAUUGUUUAUCGCUUUUCUGUGUCACCACCGCAGUGAACAUAUUUUGGAGGACUGAAGAGCUAGUGUUCCUUCUCUAAUUCAUAAAAAUUAUUUGAAAUAUAGAGCAUCACUCUAAAUAAAAAUAUUUCAAUAA